CUUGCAAGAAACAGACUAUUCAUUAAAUUUGGAGCAAUAGAAAGUCACCUUGUGAGAUAAGAUUGUUAUAUCUCUUGCUGACUUCAAAUUAUCCACAUUUCGGUCACUAUAUUAAUGAUAAUAGCAGGAUAAAACAAUGUUUCUGCUUUUAUACAUUGUAUAUUCCCAUUACUGUUUUUCAGAAGUACUUAUUAGAGGAAAAACUGCCAGAAUUUACCAUGGUCCUAAGGCAUAAUAUACUACAGCUCUGAAAGUAAUAGACAGACUCUAUGUUUAGAGUAACUGAGAUGUCUCCUCUGUUUGAUUUCUAUGGAUAUUUUAUCAUUUGGGGAGCAAAAUGGGUCAUUAUAAUUCAUUUCACAUCCUAAUUUUCAUGGCUUAAGGUAGUUUAUCUUCAAGAGUAUACAGAUUGGGCCAUCAAGAUCUGCCCAGAUAAUGGAAUAUAUAAGUCAUGUUCUUUUGUUAUUUCAUUUUAAGAGGAGUUUGUUCACUGCUGCUUCAUUCUGUGCCCUGGUUGAACACUGUUAUUGCAUACAACUCUGAAGUUAAUUUUUAUUUGCUAACUUAUUUUAUUUGCUUAUUUGUGCAGCUGUAUUAAUGGCCGAUUUCUCUUUCAAGGCCCUUGGAUCAGGAUAUUAAGGAGAAAAAAAUGGUGAACCUAGCCAACAUUCCAUCCUUCCAAUCAUCAGAGAUUAGAUAGCUCAGAUGGUUCAAGUCUCUACCAAUGAAAUCAAACUCUGGAGUUUACACCUCACUCCAAGCAUUUCUCUUUGUGCAGAAGAAAAUUGUACCAAACUCAAGGCCACCCCAGGAUGGUUGAUGCGAACAUGCAAAAUUCUACCUUCUUCCAGGCCCUUGCAAAUGCUGUUUCUUCUGCAGAAACUAUCUCCUGCCUUCCAAUUCCAGACAUGAUACCCUGUCAGUCAGUUGCCCUGCAAGACUCAACAAAAGGGUUUCCUCCCUGUAAAUGUUUUUAUGUCUCCACUCAGGAAAGAACAUCCUCUCCCUCACUUCUCUACAUUGUAUUCUAUAUGGACCACCUCAGUGAUAGCUCCGUGAGCCCUACAGAGAAAGUCAGCUACAGUGAAUAAAUAAGGCUUGGGUAACUAUUAGGGACUUUUAAGACAAAAUAUGCAUUUGACAAUGAAUUAAUUAACAUUAUGUAACACUUGAUUCAAUUGCAUUGUUUUGCAUGUAGCAUAUAUCAACCUCCCUGUAUUGCAGUGAGUCAUUCCAGAUGUAGGGAACACAUGUACUCAUCCCAUCCUUGAAUCCCACGUUCUUCCAUAAUAAGUGUUUAUUAGUAGAUGUGUGUUACAUGAAUAAAUUAAUAAAUUGGUGAAUGAAUGGAUGCGUAGAUGGUUAUGUAAAAGGAUAGAUAAAUUUCUUACCCCUUGACACACUAUUUUCCCAGAAGAUGCAAGGCUUUUAUUUAUGUUGUUAUAUUUUGCUGGGGGAUUUUCUUGUUUGUGAUUUUUCAUUCACUAUGUAAAGAAGAAAAUAGAUACCUGUGAACUGAAGCAAACCUAAAACAAAUUGCCUAAGACCAUGACCAACUUGUCUACAAUCAUAAUCAUAA
RNAcentral lists this long non-coding RNA (1579 nucleotides) under Homo sapiens (human). Its description in RNAcentral is "HSALNT0138581". The record is from RNAcentral. Lineage: Eukaryota; Metazoa; Chordata; Mammalia; Primates; Hominidae.